Molecule: small nucleolar RNA, 190 nt
Organism: Bombina bombina (fire-bellied toad)
Lineage: Eukaryota; Metazoa; Chordata; Amphibia; Anura; Bombinatoridae
Product: small nucleolar RNA SNORD97
Exons: 1
Source: RefSeq, a predicted model, not a curated record
UGGCCCAGUGAUUAAGAAAAGACGCGUUAUUACGAGGACCAAAUACUGGGAACUCCUUUUUCCUUCUCUUAUUUUCUUCCUUUUUAUUCUCUCCUUCCCAGCCUAUAGUUCUUUUUCUCUUGCUACUUUUUUUUUCUUUAUUUCAGAGUUACCAGUGUCCUUUGAGCAAGAUUAUGAGAUCUGAGGGCUU